This is a long non-coding RNA of Sabethes cyaneus, 319 nucleotides long. RefSeq lists it as uncharacterized. Lineage: Eukaryota; Metazoa; Arthropoda; Insecta; Diptera; Culicidae. The transcript is spliced from 3 exons. The record is from RefSeq and is a predicted model, not a curated record.
GCCAUAGGCAACUCAGUAAAAGUAACGUCAAUUGACAUAGCAUUAUGAUGCACUUCUGUCUUGAUCAGCGGAUCACUCACCUCAAUACGACAGCACUCAUCGUCUGUUGUAAACAACAAAUCGAGAAAUCUGUUGUUUUGAUUCGGGAUACCGCAAAUUUGGAAAAAGCCACAAGCAGCCAUCGAAUCAACGAACAGUUCUUCUUCUGGCUGGCGUACUUGAUAAGGUGACGAUGAAUCUACAAUAUUGCGGAUGCUUUCUACGUAUGAUGCAUAGCGACCAAAAUGCGAAUCAGGAGGACGAUUCGAAAAUAACGUUA